RNAcentral lists this ribosomal RNA (482 nucleotides) under uncultured Bradyrhizobium sp. RNAcentral's name for it is "partial 16S ribosomal RNA". It matches the Rfam family "Bacterial small subunit ribosomal RNA", at positions 1 to 532 of the family's 1533-position model. The record is from RNAcentral. Lineage: Bacteria; Pseudomonadati; Pseudomonadota; Alphaproteobacteria; Hyphomicrobiales; Nitrobacteraceae.
UAGAGUUUGAUCAUGGCUCAGAGCGAACGCUGGCGGCAGGCUUAACACAUGCAAGUCGAGCGGGCGUAGCAAUACGUCAGCGGCAGACGGGUGAGUAACGCGUGGGAACGUACCUUUUGGUUYGGAACAACACAGGGAAACUUGUGCUAAUACCGGAUAAGCCCUUACGGGGAAAGAUUUAUCGCCGAAAGAUCGGCCCGCGUCUGAUUAGCUAGUUGGUGAGGUAAUGGCUCACCAAGGCGACGAUCAGUAGCUGGUCUGAGAGGAUGAUCAGCCACAUUGGGACUGAGACACGGCCCAAACUCCUACGGGAGGCAGCAGUGGGGAAUAUUGGACRAUGGGGGCAACCCYKRWYCMRSCCAUGCCGCGUGAGUGAUGAAGGCCCUAGGGUUGUAAAGCUCUUUUGUGCGGGAAGAUAAUGACGGUACCGCRAGAAUAAGCCCCGGCUAACUUCGUGCCAGCCGCCGCGGKAAUACRRAGGG